Brassica napus (rape) is the source of this 1257-nucleotide long non-coding RNA. RefSeq lists it as uncharacterized. NCBI's taxonomy places the organism in Eukaryota, Viridiplantae, Streptophyta, Magnoliopsida, Brassicales, Brassicaceae. The transcript is spliced from 7 exons. The record is from RefSeq and is a predicted model, not a curated record.
AUGAUGGGCUUUCUUUGUUAUUCACAUGUUGGGCUCUACGUUUGACUGCUCUAUUCGACCAAAGACGAUGCGACUUGCCCUCUAACCUAAUUUCUCCAUCGACGAUUUGCUGAUCGUCUGCGACCUUGACUCUCUAACGUCUUAUCUAGAAUCUCAUUUUCCUGUUUUGAAGGCUGGCAGCUGUUCUUCCAGGGUCGAGGAAUCCAGGAUCGUAGCUUUAUCGGUUCACAUGAUCCCUCAAGACCCAAACUGUUCAUAUUCAUCGGUACAUCCAAUUUUUUCCCACAAAGGUUAGGAUGAAAAUGGAAUCAUGUAAGAUGUUCAUCGGUCGACUAUCAUGGAAGACCACUGAAUAUCGAGAGUACUUCAGAGUUUCGGUGAGGUUUUACAAGUGGUGAUCAUGAAGGAUCGAGCCACUGGCUGUGCUCAUGGCUUUGGUUUUUUUUUUCGUUGCUGGUUCCAGUGUUGCUGUGAGAGCCAUAUUGCUCAUUCACGUCAUUGAUGUUAAAUUUUAAGUUUUCAUCAAAUCCCUUUUGAGCCAUUACUUCAUUGCUUCAGUAUCAAUUAAUCUACUUACAAUAAUUAGUUGUUUGGAACAGAGGUUACUGCUCCUCCAAGUAAAGCUAUCGUUUUAUUCAUUCCUGUUUUUGCCUAUGUUCUUCUGCAUUUUCGCCAAAGGUGAGCCUGGUUAUUUAUCAACGCCAUGUCAUGAACUUGCAUCUACUUUGAUUCAGAAGCAGCUGCAGGACAGUGUUACUAUGAGAGUCAGUCGACGUUCCCUGUACCGGCAACGUAAUGGGAAUUCAAUCUGAUAAUGGCUGGUGUUAUCUUCAUUCACCGGCAUUAGAUGUGGUGAAUCAAAUGCUGUUGGUGUCUUCAGGUACAGCUUUCAAGAGUAACAACACAUGGUGGUCUCAGAAUACUUGACAAAACGGCUGCAACAAGCAGUCCAAAUGGUGUAACUAAUAUUGUUUACAGAUAGAUUUUCAAAGACCUUGGGACAGCUAGGAUAUGCGAGCAGUUUACUUGAUAGCAGCAGCAAGGCUACUUCCUGCAAAACAAACAUACUACCAACAAUCCAGUGACUGGAAUAGCUGGGAGUGUGUCUUCGUGCAGCUGUGUCCCCAAGAUUUCAUAUCUAACUUUAGUGCUUUGAUUCACCAGUCACCCUGUGGUUGGUUGUUGUUUUUAUGUUAAAUACGAGAAGAAUAUUUGGGCAUAUAUAUAUAACUUAAAUAAAUGGAUGCAUCUGGUUUA